RNAcentral lists this transfer RNA (73 nucleotides) under Ailuropoda melanoleuca (giant panda). It matches the Rfam family "tRNA". Rfam says of the family: Transfer RNA (tRNA) molecules are approximately 80 nucleotides in length. Their secondary structure includes four short double-helical elements and three loops (D, anti-codon, and T loops). Further hydrogen bonds mediate the characteristic L-shaped molecular structure. tRNAs have two regions of fundamental functional importance: the anti-codon, which is responsible for specific mRNA codon recognition, and the 3' end, to which the tRNAs corresponding amino acid is attached (by aminoacyl-tRNA synthetases). tRNAs cope with the degeneracy of the genetic code in two manners: having more than one tRNA (with a specific anti-codon) for a particular amino acid; and 'wobble' base-pairing, i.e. permitting non-standard base-pairing at the 3rd anti-codon position. Lineage: Eukaryota; Metazoa; Chordata; Mammalia; Carnivora; Ursidae. The record is from Rfam by way of RNAcentral.
ACCUGGCUGGCUCAGUCUGUAGAGCAUGUAACUCUUGAUCUCAGGGUUGUGAGUUUGAGCCCCAUGUUGGGUG